CCACAACAGUCAACGCAGAGGAAGACUACAGGGCCAGGGGAUUGUAUCAGACUCGUGUAGGCUACAGACUCUCAUCAAACUCUGAUUCAGCACAUCCCCCAAAUACUGCAAAUGGUGUACAGAGAUGUACAGAUCCAGCUGCCCGUCCAGCAGCUGAAGGCCAUAUUGGGCUGCUUUCUGCAGUCCACAUUCUUCUUCUUUCAACUUGUGUUGUAGUCGCUGGAUCAAAAUCAUCUCCUGAAGUAGACAUCGUUUACAAUUGAAGAGAAGCAAAAAGAGAGAAACUUAACAGGAACACUUAUUAAGGAAGGUGUGGGACACCCAUUAAGUCCAGCAAUGGCUCAUAUGGUGUUAGGUGGAAUAGUUGUUCAAUUAUGUAACGCAUGUGGGCUAUUCUGUGAUUACAAUAUCUGAUUUAAAUGAACAGAACAAACAAGGAUGCCAAAUAGAUAUGAGUCUAAUGGUGAACUAAAGACAAACCUGGAGCUAAACCGUGUUGAGAGAACAAUGGAUAAAGGUUGUAGCUAGUAGUAACUGCUCUAUAACUUGGACUCAGUAACUGGGUCCUUUUCAGUAGGCACGAAACUGGAUAAAACGAUUGUAUACAUAUGCUUUCUAGUGAACAAUGCAACAUACAACUGAUAAACAAAACUAACAUUAGAUCAAAUAUGUUUAUCUGACAAGCUAGGCUUCAUAGCUAGCUAGUAACACGAUAUCAAGCUUUUUUUCCCCUCCUGAUAUUCAAGUUCACUAGCUCCGAUAGCUAAACUUGUAAUCUCGUCCACCAGCCGGCUGUCUCUCUAGCAAUCGAGCCUGGGGACACGGUUAGCUAGCUAGCUUGCAAAGUUGCAAGCUAACUGUUGAUUGCACAAAGACAGUUAUCCUCCGAAAAGUUGUAAGUGAUCAUAUUUGAAGAGGAUAACUGUCAAACUGUUUAGCUUGCAGCCUAGCUUGUUAGCAUACCUUUCCACAUGCCGUCAAAUAGGGCACCGAACCACCACACCUCAAAUAUUAUUAGGUUUUCCACCAUUUACGAAACACGAUUUGAAUUCUGAUCCAGCUCCAGCCACAAGCCAAAUAUCGCGACAGAUAAUGAUACGUCUGUUGCUCUGCCUUUUUACAAGGAUCAAUACUUUAUGUCAAUAAUGCACAACGUGUGUUUGAAAAUGUUAUGAACAUAUAAUACAGUCCACCAUGUUUAUUGCUAUGAUUAUAUUAUCCAAUAAUCUGAUGUUAUUCUCUCA
Molecule: long non-coding RNA, 1244 nt
Organism: Oncorhynchus tshawytscha (Chinook salmon)
Lineage: Eukaryota; Metazoa; Chordata; Actinopteri; Salmoniformes; Salmonidae
Exons: 3
Source: RefSeq, a predicted model, not a curated record